CGACCGGCGCACGGGUGAGUAACGCGUAUGUAAUCUGCCUUGUACAGAGGGAUAGCCCAGAGAAAUUUGGAUUAAUACCUCAUAGUAUUACUGAAUCGCAUGAUUCGGUAAUUAAAGCUCCGGCGGCACAAGAUGAACAUGCGUGACAUUAGCUAGUUGGUAAGGUAACGGCUUACCAAGGCAACGAUGUCUAGGGGUUCUGAGAGGAUGAUCCCCCACACUGGUACUGAGACACGGACCAGACUCCUACGGGAGGCAGCAGUGAGGAAUAUUGGUCAAUGGACGCAAGUCUGAACCAGCCAUCCCGCGUGAAGGAUGACUGGCCUAUGGGUUGUAGACUUCUUUUAUAUGCAAAUAAACCUACUUUCGUGAAAGUAGCUGAAGGUAGCAUAUGAAUAAA
RNAcentral lists this ribosomal RNA (400 nucleotides) under uncultured bacterium. Its description in RNAcentral is "bacterial SSU rRNA". It matches the Rfam family "Bacterial small subunit ribosomal RNA", at positions 92 to 490 of the family's 1533-position model. The record is from RNAcentral.